CUGGUGCCAGCAGCCGCGGUAAUUCCAGCUCCAAUAGCGUAUAUUAAAGUUGUUGCGGUUAAAAAGCUCGUAGUUGGAUCUCAGUUCCGGACCGACGGUACGCCGCCCGGCGUCUACUGUCGGCUUCCGAACGCUAAAGCCCGUCGGCUCGGUCGGGGUGCUCUUCAUCGAGUGUCCCGGGCGGCCGGCACGUUUACUUUGAAAAAAUUAGGGUGCUCAGAGCAGGCCAAGGCGCCUGAAUACUUGUGCAUGGAAUAAUGGAAUAGGACCUCGGUUCUAUUUUGUUGGUUUUAAGAGCCCGAGGUAAUGAUUAAUAGGAACAGACGGGGGCAUUCGUAUUGCGACGUUAGAGGUGAAAUUCUUGGAUCGUCGCAAGACGAACUACUGCGAAAGCAUUUGCCAAGAAUGUUUUCAUUAAUCAAGAACGAAAGUUAGAGGUUCGAAG
RNAcentral lists this ribosomal RNA (445 nucleotides) under Thysanoessa raschii. Its description in RNAcentral is "SSU rRNA". It matches the Rfam family "Eukaryotic small subunit ribosomal RNA", at positions 561 to 1003 of the family's 1831-position model. Lineage: Eukaryota; Metazoa; Arthropoda; Malacostraca; Euphausiacea; Euphausiidae. The record is from RNAcentral.